RNAcentral lists this ribosomal RNA (497 nucleotides) under uncultured bacterium. RNAcentral describes it as "partial 16S ribosomal RNA". It matches the Rfam family "Bacterial small subunit ribosomal RNA", at positions 28 to 507 of the family's 1533-position model. The record is from RNAcentral.
GAUGAACGCUGGCGGCGUGCCUAAUACAUGCAAGUCGAGCGAACAGACGAGGAGCUUGCUCCUCUGACGUUAGCGGCGGACGGGUGAGUAACACGUGGAUAACCCACCUAUAAGACUGGGAUAACUUCGGGAAACCGGAGCUAAUACCGGAUAUUCUAUUGAACCGCAUGGUUCAAUAGUGAAAGACGGUUUUGCUGUCACUUAUAGAUGGAUCCGCGCCGCAUUAGCUAGUUGGUAAGGUAACGGCUUACCAAGGCAACGAUGCGGAGCCGACCCGAGAGGGUGAUCAGCCACACUAGAACUGAAACCCGGUCCAGACUCCUACGGGAGGCAGCAGUAGGGAAUCUUCCGCAAUGGGCGAAAGCUUGGCGGAGCAACGCCGCGUGAGUGAUGAAGGUCUUCGGAUCGUAAAACUCUGUUAUUAGGGAAGAACAAAUGUGUAAGUAACUAUGCACGUCUUGACGGUACCUAAUCAGAAAGCCACGGCUAACUACGUG